Molecule: ribosomal RNA, 59 nt
Filed under: uncultured bacterium
Lineage: Bacteria
Description: partial 16S ribosomal RNA
Source: RNAcentral
GGGGUUUGACAUGUCGAUGACGCAGGCAGAGAUGUCUGUUUCUUUCGGGACGUCGACAC